RNAcentral lists this ribosomal RNA (450 nucleotides) under uncultured bacterium. Its description in RNAcentral is "bacterial SSU rRNA". It matches the Rfam family "Bacterial small subunit ribosomal RNA", at positions 28 to 476 of the family's 1533-position model. The record is from RNAcentral.
GACGAACGCUGGCGGCGUGCUUAACACAUGCAAGUCGAACGGAGCACCCCUGAAGGAGUUUUCGGACAACGGAUGGGAAUGCUUAGUGGCGGACUGGUGAGUAACGCGUGAGGAACCUGCCUUCCAGAGGGGGACAACAGUUGGAAACGACUGCUAAUACCGCAUGAUGCAUCGAAGUCGCAUGGCUUUGGUGUCAAAGAUUUAUCGCUGGAAGAUGGCCUCGCGUCUGAUUAGCUAGUUGGUGAGGUAACGGCCCACCAAGGCGACGAUCAGUAGCCGGACUGAGAGGUUGGCCGGCCACAUUGGGACUGAGAUACGGCCCAGACUCCUACGGGAGGCAGCAGUGGGGAAUAUUGGGCAAUGGACGCAAGUCUGACCCAGCAACGCCGCGUGAAGGAAGAAGGCUUUCGGGUUGUAAACUUCUUUUAAGGGGGAAGAGUAGAAGACGGU